GAUGAAGAACGCAGCGAAAUGCGAUAAGUAAUGUGAAUUGCAGAAUUCAGUGAAUCAUCGAAUCUUUGAACGCACAUUGCGCUCCCUGGUAUUCCGGGGGGCAUGCCUGUUCGAGCGUCAUUUCACCACUCAAGCCUCGCUUGGUAUUGGGCAACGCGGUCCGCCGCGUGCCUCAAAUCGACCGGCUGGGUCUUCUGUCCCCUAAGCGUUGUGGAAACUAUUCGCUAAAGGGUGUUCGGGAGGCUACGCCGUAAAACAACCCCAUUUCUAAGGUUGACCUCGGAUCAGGUAGGGAUACCCGCUGAACUUAAGCAUAUCAAUAAGCGGAGGA
Molecule: unclassified non-coding RNA, 331 nt
Filed under: soil metagenome
Description: partial contains 5.8S ribosomal RNA, internal transcribed spacer 2, and large subunit ribosomal RNA
Rfam family: 5.8S ribosomal RNA (bases 1-120)
Source: RNAcentral